AAAUUCAGUCUGUACUGAUACAAAAAUCAGCCCAUAAAAGAGGUUCACCCAGGGCGAGGCUUAGCCAUUGCACUCCGGUUGAGCUGACCUCUGCAAAUUCCCCAAAUGUGUGAAUCUUGACUGCAUAAUUUCUGGUAGUGGGGGACUGCGUUCACGCUCUCCCCUG
This is a small nuclear RNA of Micropterus dolomieu (smallmouth bass), 166 nucleotides long. RefSeq annotates it as U1 spliceosomal RNA. NCBI's taxonomy places the organism in Eukaryota, Metazoa, Chordata, Actinopteri, Centrarchiformes, Centrarchidae. The record is from RefSeq and is a predicted model, not a curated record. The transcript has a single exon.